GCAGGAGUAGUUCAGUGGUAGAACACCACCUUGCCAAGGUGGGGGUCGCGGGUUCGAAUCCCGUCUCCUGCUCCA
Molecule: transfer RNA, 75 nt
Filed under: bacterium
Lineage: Bacteria
Also listed under: 1 other name
Description: tRNA-Gly
Rfam family: tRNA
About the family: Transfer RNA (tRNA) molecules are approximately 80 nucleotides in length. Their secondary structure includes four short double-helical elements and three loops (D, anti-codon, and T loops).
Source: RNAcentral